UUACGCCAAGCUCAGAAGAAUUUAAGCAUAUAAGUAAGCGGAGGACAAGAAACUAAAUAGGAUUCCCCCAGUAAUGGCGAAUGAACAGGGAAGAGCUCAGCAUGGAAAUCGGGGUCUCCCGACCUUGAAUUGUAGUCUUGAGAUGUACUGCCAACGGAGGCGCAGAUGUAAGCCUCUUGGAAAAGAGCAUCAACGAGGGUGAGAGUCCCGUUUGUCAUCUGCAGUCCCCCGUGCACGGUGUACCUUCUAAGAGUCACGUUCCUCGGGAUUGGAGCGCAAAGUGGGUGGUAAAUUUCAUCUAAAGCUAAAUAUUGGUUCGAGACCGAUAGCAAACAAGUACCAUGAGGGAAAGGUGAAAAGGACUUUGAAAAGAGAGUUAAAAGUGCCUGAAAUUGCUGAAAGGGAAGCGAAUGGAACCAGUGUUCUUGAUGAGAUUGUCGCGUACUCUGGUGAUUGCUGGGUGCUCCACCGCAAGGGGGGCAUUUGGUUUUGAUCUAGCGGUGCGUGGUGUUUCUUGUCUUGUGUGUCACCGUCGGUGCACAAGCGAGUAAAACUCCGGAGAACUGGUAACUCGACCAUGGUUGAGUGAAUGUCUUUGGCAGUACUCAUUUGUGUAUCGAUCCCUGCGUGUCUGGUUGCAGUGUUUGAGUCGUCUGGAAGCUUCUGAAAGGACUUGUCCUCGAAGGACUUUCUAGGCACCUUGAGCAUCUCCCUGACACAAAGACGAUGACUAAAUGGUUCUAUUCGACCCGUCUUGAAACACGGACCAA
This 770-nucleotide ribosomal RNA is filed under the name Azadinium poporum. RNAcentral describes it as "eukaryotic LSU rRNA". It matches the Rfam family "Eukaryotic large subunit ribosomal RNA", at positions 24 to 669 of the family's 3401-position model. The record is from RNAcentral. Lineage: Eukaryota; Dinophyceae; Gonyaulacales; Amphidomataceae.